GCAGCAUAAGAAACUGCAGGAUUCUUAAAAGACUACUCUUAAAGGGCCAGCAAUGGACUUAGGACUCACACAGACCCAUCCCCUCUGGUAUUCAGCACCAGGGCAACAGCUGGAAGGGCACCAGUGGCAUACAGGGAAAAAGGGAGAAAGUGCUGUGACUG
Molecule: long non-coding RNA, 161 nt
Organism: Phyllostomus discolor (pale spear-nosed bat)
Lineage: Eukaryota; Metazoa; Chordata; Mammalia; Chiroptera; Phyllostomidae
Exons: 3
Source: RefSeq, a predicted model, not a curated record